Molecule: unclassified non-coding RNA, 364 nt
Filed under: uncultured bacterium
Lineage: Bacteria
Description: contains 16S-23S intergenic spacer region
Source: RNAcentral
UCCCCGUUACCGGGGCAGUCUGAAUAGAAAAAUCCAACUAUUCAUAAGGGUUGCGCUCGUUAAUGGACUUAACCAAACAUCUCACGACACGAGCUGACGACGGCCAUGCAUCAUCUGUCACUAGGUUCCCGAAGGCACUCUCUGCUUUCACAGAAAUUCCUAGGAUGUCAAACCCUGGUAAGGUUCUUCGCUUAGCCUCGAAUUAAACAACACGCUCCACCGCUUGUGCGGGUCCCCGUCAAUUCCUUUGAGUUUUAGCCUUGCGGCCGUACUCCCCAGGCGGGGCGCUUAAUGCGUUAGCUACGGCACGGAUCCCGUGGAAGGAAACCCACACCUAGCGCCCACCGUUUACGGCGUGGACUAC